GCGUCCAUGGUGUAGUGGUUGAGCAUGUCUCUUUCCCAAAGAGGAGGUCGCGGGUUCGAACCCCGCUGGUCGCA
RNAcentral lists this transfer RNA (74 nucleotides) under Sporisorium reilianum SRZ2. Its description in RNAcentral is "tRNA-Gly (CCC) (tRNA-Gly-CCC-1-1)". It matches the Rfam family "tRNA". From Rfam's summary of the family: Transfer RNA (tRNA) molecules are approximately 80 nucleotides in length. Their secondary structure includes four short double-helical elements and three loops (D, anti-codon, and T loops). Further hydrogen bonds mediate the characteristic L-shaped molecular structure. tRNAs have two regions of fundamental functional importance: the anti-codon, which is responsible for specific mRNA codon recognition, and the 3' end, to which the tRNAs corresponding amino acid is attached (by aminoacyl-tRNA synthetases). tRNAs cope with the degeneracy of the genetic code in two manners: having more than one tRNA (with a specific anti-codon) for a particular amino acid; and 'wobble' base-pairing, i.e. permitting non-standard base-pairing at the 3rd anti-codon position. Lineage: Eukaryota; Fungi; Basidiomycota; Ustilaginomycetes; Ustilaginales; Ustilaginaceae. The record is from RNAcentral.